Molecule: long non-coding RNA, 1317 nt
Organism: Diceros bicornis minor
Lineage: Eukaryota; Metazoa; Chordata; Mammalia; Perissodactyla; Rhinocerotidae
Exons: 9
Source: RefSeq, a predicted model, not a curated record
GUUAAUAAAAUUUUAUAUGUAAACAUGUACUUAAAACCACUUUACACUCUUCAAAUGCUUUACAAAUAGUCACAAAUUUAAUCCUAAUAUAAGACAAUGAAUAGGUAACGUUAUUAUGGGACUUUUUAGAGAUAUAGAAACUAAGAUGGAUAGAGGUUAUUUAACCUUCUCAAGUGCGUUAAGCUAGUCACAUUAGAGUCAGGAUUUGAACCCAGGCAGUCUGGCUUCAACGCCAAGCUUCCCCUCAAUCACUUCUACCAUCAGAUAAUAUUGCUUCAUACUCACAGUGUUAGCACCAAGAAUGUAAGUUUAGCUAACUGAUCAUAUGAAUUUUGUUGAAAUUCUGUUUAUUUUUCUUCCAGAGAACUCAAUAUGGAACACUUUUUCUCUUUUGAUUCAGACAACCUAUGGAGAUUUUGAUCCUGUACUGAAAGGAACUGAAUGUGGAAAUUUUUGGAGUGUCCAUUCAAUGCCUCCCUGGAGUCUCUGCCAAAGGAAACAUUAGACACGACUCUGUCUGGAUCCAGCUACUACAUCUAUGAUGCUGUGGAUGUGGUGGCCUGAGCCCUCCAUGAAAUACUUUUUAUAAAAGCAGAACAGGGGUCCAUAAUGAAUGCAGGCCAGCUCAUGUUUCUCCCUUAGCAGGUUGCAAGUAAACCUCUAAUGAUUGUAGGGUCUAAUUAGCAACAGUGUCAACUCUUUUAACUAGAAAUAAUUGAUUAAAAACUUUCACUGUGAGAGGUAGGAAGAAGCAGGCUGUCUUUCUUUGUCUCUUCUUGAGCUCGAGGAAACUCCCUAGCACCCCUAAAGCAAACCUCAUUGCUCAAGCUCCACCCAUUCCUAAGAAACACCCAAUUUAAAAAAAGCACUGGAGCUCACGUGUCACUGGAUGAGAAAAGAAACUCUGUGUCACAGCAUGUAAUUCUGAACUAUAUGAUUUUCCUAAAGGUCUUGGACUUCAGGUGAAAGACGUUCUGUCAGCCAGGAUUCAGGAACAUCCCUCAGGAAGAGAGAGCUACCUGCUGCUUUGUCUGUGUAUUGUGCCCAGAGAGAGAAAUAUGUAAUCAGACAGAAAAGAAAAGUGUCUGUGGGGCUCAAGUUUGAGUUGAAACCAGGCUCAGGGUCCACCUGUCCUCGCUGAUCCGUGGAUUUCUGUGUGACCAGCUGACACCUAUGGAGCUGUGGCCCUGACUACUACCAGCUUGCUCAUCCCUCUACUCACACAGUCACCCCUCCCCUCACUCUCAUUUAUGCUUCACCUGUGAAUGGUGGUCCUGGGACAGCCACUGCUGGAGCCCGGGUGAGCCUGGGGGCUCC